GGAUGUGAGGGUAAUCUGGCUGCAAAAUCUGUCAACCCAUUGAUCGCCAGGGUUGAUUGGGCUGAUCUGACUGGCUAGGCAGGUGUGCCAUCCUCCCUCACUGCUCUAUGUGUGUCCCUCCUGAGGCUGUGUGCUCGGUCAAAGAGGAUGACCUUCCCUGAUAGAGGAGGACCGUUCUUCGGUCAAGGGUACAUGAACAGCUGCGAUUCCCCUGCCAGAACCUCCAAACAAGCUCUCAAGAAACAAAAUUUCAGAGAAACUACAUCAUUUGCCCAAGACCCAUAGCAACAAUUACAGCCAGGGCUGGAAUU
Vicugna pacos (alpaca) is the source of this 311-nucleotide unclassified non-coding RNA. Its record names the gene 7SK. It matches the Rfam family "7SK RNA". From Rfam's summary of the family: 7SK was discovered as an abundant small nuclear RNA in the mid-70s but a possible function has only recently been suggested. Two independent studies have found that 7SK RNA binds the CDK9/cyclin T complex (known as elongation factor P-TEFb). P-TEFb activates transcription by phosphorylating the C-terminal domain of RNA polymerase II. Lineage: Eukaryota; Metazoa; Chordata; Mammalia; Artiodactyla; Camelidae. The record is from Ensembl.